CCUACGCGUGGCAGCAGUGGGGAAUAUUGGGCAAUGGGCGCAAGCCUGACCCAGCAACGCCGCGUGAAGGAAGAAGGCCCUCGGGUUUUAAACUUUUUUUGUUAGGGACGACGAAAGUGACGGUACCUGGCGAAUAAGCCACGGCUAACUACGUGCCAGCACCCGCGGUAAUACGUCGGUGGCAAGCGUUAUCCGGAUUGACUGGGUGUAAAGGGCGUGUAGGCGGGACUGCAAGUCAGAUGUGAAAUUCCAGGGCUCAACCCUGGAACUGCAUUUGAAACUGUAGUUCUUGAGUGAUGGAGAGGCAGGCGGAAGUCCGUGUGUAGCGGUGAAAUGCGUAGAUAUACGGAGGAACACCAGGGGCGAAGGCGGCCUGCUGGACAUUAACUGACGCUGAGGCGCGAAAGCGUGGGGAGCAAACAGGAUUAGAUACCCGUGUAGUC
This 443-nucleotide ribosomal RNA is filed under the name uncultured bacterium. Its description in RNAcentral is "partial 16S ribosomal RNA". It matches the Rfam family "Bacterial small subunit ribosomal RNA", at positions 338 to 795 of the family's 1533-position model. The record is from RNAcentral.